CAUCCAGGUUACUCCACUGACACUGUUUGCUUUUCCAAUAGUAAAUUUUCCAACAGGCUGACAGCUCCGUUGUUGAAGUGCCAUAAUAAUUAAAGAGGAGAUUAAACAAUUCGGGAGAAUGGUGACUAAUUGAAGGAGGAGAAUUUCCCUCUGAGUGCAGCAUGAGGGACACCACUGAUGACAUUCUGCCCCACAAAUGUGUUCCAGAGGGUUAGUAAAUAAAUGAUUCCACACUGCAGAGAUGCAGAAGCUGACAAGAGCAUCAGAAUCCAUUGGAAGAGGGAGGCAGGAGGUCCAGACAGACACGAACGGGAACAGCAAGAAGCAAUUUCCUUCUCAAUCACGGAGCCUGUGCCCAGCAGUGUGUCCUCAGCAGAGUCCACCCAGUCUUGUAAGGACAUCUUUCCUGCAGGGAGUUUUGCAGAGAUUUUCUACCUGUAAAUAGGAAGAAAG
This is a long non-coding RNA of Corvus hawaiiensis (hawaiian crow), 453 nucleotides long. RefSeq lists it as uncharacterized. The record is from RefSeq and is a predicted model, not a curated record. Lineage: Eukaryota; Metazoa; Chordata; Aves; Passeriformes; Corvidae. The transcript is spliced from 3 exons.